GCCCCCAUCGUCUAGCCUGGUCUAGGACAUCGGUCUUUCAAGCCGGUAACGCGGGUUCAAAUCCCGCUGGGGGCGCAA
Molecule: transfer RNA, 78 nt
Filed under: Candidatus Calescibacteriota bacterium
Lineage: Bacteria; Candidatus Calescibacteriota
Description: Candidatus Calescamantes bacterium (hot springs metagenome) tRNA-Glu
Rfam family: tRNA
About the family: Transfer RNA (tRNA) molecules are approximately 80 nucleotides in length. Their secondary structure includes four short double-helical elements and three loops (D, anti-codon, and T loops).
Source: RNAcentral